AGUGAAUGCUGGCGGUAGGCCUAACACAUGCAAGUCGAACGGCAGCACAGUAAGAGCUUGCUCUUACGGGUGGCGAGUGGCGGACGGGUGAGGAAUACAUCGGAAUCUACUUUUUCGUGGGGGAUAACGUAGGGAAACUUACGCUAAUACCGCAUACGACCUACGGGUGAAAGCAGGGGAUCUUCGGACCUUGCGCGAUUGAAUGAGCCGAUGUCGGAUUAGCUAGUUGGCGGGGUAAAGGCCCACCAAGGCGACGAUCCGUAGCUGGUCUGAGAGGAUGAUCAGCCACACUGGAACUGAGACACGGUCCAGACUCCCACGGGAGGCAGCAGUGGGGAAUAUUGGACAAUGGGCGCAAGCCUGAUCCAGCCAUACCGCGUGGGUGAAGAAGGCCUUCGGGUUGUAAAGCCCUUUUGUUGGGAAAGAAAAGCAGCAGGUUAAUACCCCGCUGUUCUGACGGUACCCAAAGAAUAAGCACCGGCUAACUUCGUG
Molecule: ribosomal RNA, 492 nt
Filed under: uncultured bacterium
Lineage: Bacteria
Description: partial 16S ribosomal RNA
Rfam family: Bacterial small subunit ribosomal RNA
Source: RNAcentral